Molecule: ribosomal RNA, 409 nt
Filed under: uncultured microorganism
Description: bacterial SSU rRNA
Rfam family: Archaeal small subunit ribosomal RNA
Source: RNAcentral
GCGCACCAGUCGCGAAUACUUUACAAUGUGCGAAAGCACGAUAAGGGAACUCUGAGUGCCUCCUAAGGAGGCUGUUCAGGUGUCUAAAAGCACCUGAAGGAAGGGCUGGGUAAGACCGGUGCCAGCCGCCGCGGUAACACCGGCAGCCCAAGUGGUAGCCACGUUUAUUGGGUCUAAAGCGUCCGUAGCCGGCUGGGUAAGUUCCUUGGGAAAUUUGGCUGCUUAACAGUCAAGCUUUCAGGGAAUACUGCCCGGCUUGGGACCGGGAGAGGUCAGAGGUACUCCAGGGGUAGGGGUGAAAUCCAUUAAUCCUUGGGGGACCACCGGUAGCGAAGGCGUCUGACCAGACCGGGUCCGACGGUGAGGGACGAAGGCUAGGGGCGCGAACCGGAUUAGAUACCCCCGUAGU